This 253-nucleotide ribosomal RNA is filed under the name uncultured bacterium. RNAcentral describes it as "partial 16S ribosomal RNA". It matches the Rfam family "Bacterial small subunit ribosomal RNA", at positions 524 to 776 of the family's 1533-position model. The record is from RNAcentral.
UACGUAGGGGGCAAGCGUUGUCCGGAAUCAUUGGGCGUAAAGAGCGUGUAGGCGGUUCGGUAAGUCGGCUGUGAAAGUCCAGGGCUCAACCCUGGGAUGCCGGUCGAUACUGCCGGACUAGAGUUCGGAAGAGGCGAGUGGAAUUCCCGGUGUAGCGGUGAAAUGCGCAGAUAUCGGGAGGAACACCUAUGGCGAAGGCAGCUCGCUGGGACGUUACUGACGCUCAUGCACGAAAGCGUGGGGAGCAAACAGG